AGUGGCUGGUCCUGCUCUUAGAGUAUCUUGGUGCUGCUGGGUUUCGAUCCCGCUCCCUAGGUUAUGCAGGGACCUCUAUAAGCGCUGCGUACUCCUGCAAUUUUUAAAAUUGUUAAUUUAAUUUUUACUUGAAAUAUAUUCACAUAGCAUAAAAUCUGUCCUUUAAACAUGUACCCUCUAGUGGUCUUUUUCGGUUUUUUCUUUCUUUUUUUUUUUUUUUUCUGAGGUGUCUCGCUCUGUCGCCCAGACUGGAGUUCACAGUUCACUGCAGCCUGGACUUCCUGGGCUUAAGUGAUCCUCUCGCCUCAGCCUCCCGAGUAGCUGAGACCACAGGUGCCUGCCACCACGCCCGGCUAAUUUUCUCAAAGUUUUUGCAGAGACGAGCGUCUCACUGUGUUGCCCAAGCUGGUCUUGGACUCCUGAGCUCAAGGGAUCCUCCUGGUUUGACCUCCCAAAAUGCUGGGAUCACAGGUGUGAGCCACUGCCUCCGGCUUUGUUUAUGUUUUCAAAGUGUGCCAACCAUCAGCACUAAUUUUUUUUUUUUUUUUGACAGAGUCUCACUUUGUAACCCAGGCUGGAAUGCAGUGGUGCAAUCUCGGCCCGUUGCAACCUCUGCCUUCCAGAUUCAAGUGAUUCUCAUGCCUCAGCCUCCCGAGUAGCUGGGAUCACAGUCGUGCGCCACCACACCCGUCUAAUUUUUGUAUUUUUUUUUUUUUUUUUUUUUAGUAAAGACGGGGUUUCGCCAUGUUGGCCAGGCUGGUCUCGGUCUUGAACUCCUGACCUCAAGUGGUCCACCCGCCUCGGCCUCCCAAAGCUGGGAUUACAGGCGUGAGCCACCGCGCCCAGCCUAACCAUAAUUUUAGGCCAUUUUCAUCACCCCGAAAAGAAACCCCAUACCUAUUAGCAGUUACUCUUUAUUACCCACCUCCCUCCUCCCAACCCCUGGCAACCACUACUCUACUUUCUAUUUCCAUGGAUUUACCUAAUCUGGACAUUUCAUAUACACUGUGAAUGGAAGCAUACAUUAUGUGGUCUUUUGUGACUGACUUCUUUCACUUAGCAUAAUGUUUUAAAACGCACCCAUAUUGUAGCAUGUAUCAAAGCUUCAUUACUGGCCAGGCACAGUUGUGGCUUACGCCUGUAAUCCCAGCACUUUGGGAGUCUGAGGCUGGCGG
RNAcentral lists this long non-coding RNA (1175 nucleotides) under Homo sapiens (human). RNAcentral's name for it is "non-protein coding lnc-MTHFD2-4:1". The record is from RNAcentral. Lineage: Eukaryota; Metazoa; Chordata; Mammalia; Primates; Hominidae.